AUGCCUGCUGAUGAUGGCGAUGAAAAAACCGAGGAAAUUUUAAAAUCUACUAGUCCUGUAAUUGAUAGUGCCGCGUCUGAUGCUCAUAAAAUAUCUGAGGACUUUUCCAAGUCAUUCAGUUCAAACAUUAUUAGUGCUAUACCAACAUCUGAUGAAAAAUUGGAACAGAAAUCAGCAUCGCCUAUCCUGGAUAUGAAAAGUUCAGUGCUUGAUGCCAGCGAUACUAAGCUGACUUUAGAAUCGACGACUCUUGAGGAGCGACAGCCUACGCCAUCAACUGCUGAAGCUUCUCCUGCUGCAAGUCCUGGAAAAACUGAACACAGUCAAUUGGAAAAACAAUCAGAAACAAGCCUCUUAACAUCAGAUGAGAAAAAUAAAUCUAGCAUUUCUAUUGAGCAGAACUUGACUUCUGAGUUUACAAGUUGUACUUCAGGCUCAGGUGGAGUGAAAUCUUCUAGUCAAACACCUUCUUUAGAAAUGACAAAAUCGUCCUUCGUAGAAGAAACACAUUUAACAAGUCCUUGUCAUGAUAUAAGUCAGAAACAAAUAUCACCUGUCAUGGAUGGAGGAGAGAGUUUGAAACCCUCGAGCCCAGUUCAAGAUACCAUGGUGGAAACUGCCUUGACAGUUCCGCAGGAUAUUCUUAAAAAAGAAGAUAGUCGCAGCUCGGACUCUCCAUCAGGCAAAGAAUCUGAGCAGAUAACAACUACUUCCCCUUCUCAUGAUCUUGAACCAUCUAGCGAGAGAGUCAAGUCAAGUGCAAGUCAUGAGCUAGAGCUGACACCAAGAUCAGCAAGCCCUGCAGAAAGUUCUAAAGCAGCGAGCCCAAUCCCACCAACGGAUAAAAAGUCAGACAUUACCUCAUCUACCUCCAUCUCCCCUGUUCCUAGCCCAACAUUUUCUGUUGACAAAGAAAAAGAGUCCAGCAUGAGUAGCCAAAGUUUGAAGGGUGAAGAAAUGACUUCAAAAACUGCAAGCCCUGGAGAGGAUCACCUAUCGCCAGCACGAAGCCCUUCACCACCAGUCGCCCAACUUCCAAAGGAUGAAACUGCUAGCAGCCCAGCCCCAGCAAGUAACGAUGCGCCUUUACCGGAAUCAUCCUCGAUUCCAACAUUUUCUACAGAAGGCAUCAAAAGUUUCAGUUCUAAUGUUGAAGCCAAAAGUUCUCCGAAAUCUUCAAGUCCAUCCGAUAACACACCAAAGGCAGUUAGCCCUUCACUUUCAGGCACUAAAACUCCAGAAGAGACAACAACAUCCCCCUCUAAUUUACUGAGCUCAGUACCACCUGGUACUUUGCCGGAGACUGAAACUUUAGCUUUCAAAGAAGAGAUAGCCUCAAAACUAGUCAGCUCAGUAAAAAGUGAUGAAAUUGUUAAUACGGUUGACAUUGUAACAAAAGUUACCGAAUCGGUAACUGGCUUUAACAUUAGUUGUGGAGGAGAAACAGGGAAAGUAUCUAGUCAAAUGAAAGGGAUGGAGUUUGCAGAAAAUCUACAAAAGAAAACCCCUAGCCCCGUUUUAGAAGGGGGCAUGACUGGAAUGAUAAAUGAGUCUGAAGAAUCUAUCAUGUCCGCUUUGGACUCAGAAAAAAUAAGUUCAACAGCUGUCCAUGAAGGACUUCAGAAAUUAUCCAGCCUUCCAGAGACCACUGAGUCAAUAAAGAAAACAGUAAGCCCUUCAGCUGAAAUAGAUACUACCUUGAAAACUGUUUCCUCCGUCUCCGAAGUAAAAAAAUUGAAAAGUGAAACUCUUGAAUCUCAUGCGUAUUCGCCUGGCACUGUUGAAGAGCCAAAAGAAGAACAUGACAAAACAACAAUGGCAUCAGAUGAAAUUGCGAAUCAAGUGCAAAAAACUAAAUGCAGCGCUACCGAUUCAUCGGUAAAUGAUGAAUUAAGAAGAAGUUCACAAUCUUUGGAAGAUGAUAAAGAGGCAUCUUGGAAAUUGCAUAGUAGGGGGGAAGAGUCCAUUACUUUAAGUAAAGAGGAGUCAACUGUUUCAACGACGACAAUAUCCGAAAAAUCUGAGAGUGCAGGAGUUUCACUUUGCUCCAAGGUAUCAGGUCUGCAUUCUUCGUCAGAUGAAUCAGAACAGCCAGUGGAGAAAGGAUUUGAUCUUCACAGCUCAACACAGUCGACGUGUGGAAGUUCACGGACAACUGGGUCAACUCCUCCAGUUGAAGAGAUCACAGAAGGCUUGAGUCACAUUACCGCAAAAGAUGAAGCGGAGUCCACCUCUACCACAUCCAGUUUCACCUCAUUCAUAAAAUCUGGCUUUGAAACAGUAGUUGGAGUUCUGCAUGACGCAACAAAAACUGCAAGCUCUGCCAAAAGCCUCGAUGAAGAUAAUUCUAAAACAAAAAAGAUGAAAAGUUAG
RNAcentral lists this long non-coding RNA (2373 nucleotides) under Bemisia tabaci. RNAcentral's name for it is "lncRNA ENSASIAIIG007443". The record is from RNAcentral. Lineage: Eukaryota; Metazoa; Arthropoda; Insecta; Hemiptera; Aleyrodidae.